Molecule: non-coding RNA, 93 nt
Organism: Mycena epipterygia
Lineage: Eukaryota; Fungi; Basidiomycota; Agaricomycetes; Agaricales; Mycenaceae
Source: the annotation of a GenBank genome assembly
GCGCCGUUGGUGUAGCGGUAACACACAACCUUGAUUUCUCCUGCAAUGAAUACAUAUCCGGUUGGGUCCUGGGUUCAAGCCCCGGACGGCGCA